GUAUAGGGUAAAAUUUUCCGCCCGCACUUGGUCGUCUCCAACCCACCUGAAUCAGAGUCCCACCGUGGGCUACCGCGCCGGCCGGCACCCUUGGCGGAGGUGGCCACCAAAAUAAAAAAAGGAGCUAUAAAAUAAUCCUUUAUUCAAGCUCUACUCAAGUCCAUGGUUAACUUCGCACAAAAGUAUAUCUAAAUCCCUGACCGAAGCCAAACAAACCAAGAAACCUAGCCAUUCAAACCUAAACUAAACCUCAGACAUACUAGUUCUAAGCCCCUGGGAUUGGGGAUUUGGAUCUUCUCCUCAACCUCUACAACCUAAGCACAAGAAUUUAAAGAAAUCAAUGAGGCAAAGAACUCACCAUGGUCGGAGAUUUCAACUAAGGAGACGACGGAAUCAGGUUGGGACCUAAGUGGAAUCGACCUUAACAUGAGUGAUGACCUACUGAUCAGGUUCACCCUUUAAUGCCAACUUGGUUAAUUGAUUGGCUUAGGAAAUGUUAUGUUGUGUUGUUGUUCUAGUCAAGUGUGCAAGUUGGUCAUCUGAUAUGUUUGUACUACUACAAAGUGAUGGCAUUACUUUGCAGGAGGUAGUCAUGACUUGAUGUAGAGUCAACAUGGUUUUUGCAUUGCAGGUUUGUAUUGCAGGUCCUGCUCAUGACUUAUUUUGUACAAGGUUUGCAUUACAGCAAGUAUGGAUCAUGGCUUUGCAAUGUUGAAUUACCUUAUUUGCUGGUGUGUGCAAGUGUGGCCUAUGAACAAGGAUGAUUGGCUCAUUACAUGUUUGGCAUUGCAGGUCCAGGACUGGUGUGUACAACUUGUUGCAGGUUUAGGCUAGGUUAAAAUUGGUUUGACCCUGAACCACGAUGUAUGGUCUAGUUCUACAUUAUGCUCCUGACCUUCUCCUGUUUAAUGCUAAUUUUGUCCAUGAUACUAGGGUUGAUGCACCUUGUGAUACAAACUACUGCAAAUAUCUAGUGAUGAUGGAUUGUAUUGUAUCCCCUGACUAAGCUGUCAUAAACCUCUUGAGUUGGCCAUGGAGAUUGAAUGAUGUUAGACAACUUUAUGUUGCUCUGAACUGAAUCUGCAUCAAUGUCCCUGAGCAGUUUGGAAUGUUGCAGGUAACCUACUGACAUGCCUUGCCAGGUUUAUGUAACAUGUUGAAUAUGGAUAUGGGAUGCAAUUGGUGCUUCUUGCUCUAAACCAAAUGUGCCUUACUUUGUUGCUGUAAUGGAUUGGUGCUUUAAAAGAUUGGAGGUUAGAUGCUGAAAUGUGGCCCUAUUAACAUGAUGAUCAGUUAGCAGACCUACUUGGUUUUUGUUGUAACAUGAUUAACAUGGUCUUCUAGAUGAUGCAUCACAUGAUGGUCUUUCAGCUUGGCAAUGUUGGUUGCAAGUUUGCAUUAGGUCCUGUUUGCUUAUGCUCAUAGCAGAUUAUGGCUUGGACAGUGAAAAUAAGCUUGUGACUUUAGUUUCAUGGGAGUUUGGUUAUGGCUACCGCAGGAUCAUGAUGGCAGGAUGUUAGUGCAAGGUUUGUCAUGGACGAGUUUAGCAAGGUAAAACUGUGGUUGGCAAUGCAAAAUGUCCAAGUCAUUACAUGGUGGACAUGAUUUUGAAUAUGGACAAGGUUACUUGUAAAUGAAGAAACAAUGCAAAAGCCUAUCAAACAUGACUUUUGGAAGAUGAAUCAAGGCAAAGUGGUUUAGAUUAGGUCUUAGGUGGUCAAAAAAGGAUGAGUUGACUUUGGUCAAAGUUGACCAAAAAGUCAAUUGUUGACCAAAGUCAACACAUGGUCAAAGUUGUUAAAAUUUGCAUUUUUUCAUGUAAUGAUCAAUGUAGUAGAUUAUAAUAGACUGUGAAUGACUUGUAAUGGAUUGAAAUUGGUUUUCCAAUUGAUUUUUUUGUACAUG
Molecule: long non-coding RNA, 1905 nt
Organism: Lathyrus oleraceus (garden pea)
Lineage: Eukaryota; Viridiplantae; Streptophyta; Magnoliopsida; Fabales; Fabaceae
Exons: 5
Source: RefSeq, a predicted model, not a curated record